This 1044-nucleotide ribosomal RNA is filed under the name uncultured bacterium. Its description in RNAcentral is "bacterial SSU rRNA". It matches the Rfam family "Bacterial small subunit ribosomal RNA", at positions 336 to 1396 of the family's 1533-position model. The record is from RNAcentral.
UUCCUACGGGAGGCAGCAGUAGGGAAUCUUGCGCAAUGGGCGAAAGCCUGACGCAGCAACGCCGCGUGGGGGAUGAAGGCCUUCGGGUUGUAAACCCCUUUCAGCAGGGACGAAUUUGACGGUACCUGCAGAAGAAGCCCCGGCCAACUACGUGCCAGCAGCCGCGGUAAUACGUAGGGGGCAAGCGUUGUCCGGAUUCAUUGGGCGUAAAGAGCUCGUAGGCGGCUUGAUAAGUCGGGUGUGAAAUCUCCAGGCUCAACCUGGAGUCGCCACUCGAUACUGUUAUGGCUUGAGUCCGGUAGGGGACCACGGAAUUCCUGGUGUAGCGGUGAAAUGCGCAGAUAUCAGGAGGAACACCGGUGGCGAAGGCGGUGGUCUGGGCCGGCACUGACGCUGAGGAGCGAAAGCGUGGGUAGCGAACAGGAUUAGAUACCCUGGUAGUCCACGCCGUAAACGUUGGGCACUAGGUGUGGGAACCUAUCGACGGUUUCCGUGCCGUAGCUAACGCAUUAAGUGCCCCGCCUGGGGAGUACGGCCGCAAGGCUAAAACUCAAAGAAAUUGACGGGGGCCCGCACAAGCGGCGGAGCAUGUUGCUUAAUUCGAUGCGACGCGAAGAACCUUACCUGGGUUGAACUACGCCGGAAAAGCCGUAGAGAUACGGUGUCCGUAAGGGCCGGCGAUAGGUGGUGCAUGGCUGUCGUCAGCUCGUGUCGUGAGAUGUUGGGUUAAGUCCCGCAACGAGCGCAACCCUUGUCCUAUGUUGCCAGCGGAUUAUGCCGGGGACUCGUAGGAGACUGCCGGGGUCAACUCGGAGGAAGGUGGGGACGACGUCAAGUCAUCAUGCCCCUUACGUCCAGGGCUGCAAACAUGCUACAAUGGCCGGUACAAAGGGCUGCUAUUCCGCGAGGAUGAGCGAAUCCCAAAAAGCCGGUCUCAGUUCGGAUUGGAGUCUGCAACUCGACUCCAUGAAGUCGGAGUCGCUAGUAAUCCCGGAUCAGCAACGCCGGGGUGAAUACGUUCCCGGGCCUUGUACACACCGCCAA